Molecule: transfer RNA, 75 nt
Organism: Sorghum bicolor (sorghum)
Lineage: Eukaryota; Viridiplantae; Streptophyta; Magnoliopsida; Poales; Poaceae
Rfam family: tRNA
About the family: Transfer RNA (tRNA) molecules are approximately 80 nucleotides in length.
Source: Rfam
GGGGAUGUAGCUCAACUGGUAGAGCAUGAAAAUACGCAUGAUUCAAGGUAUGGGGUUCAACUCCUCACAUCUCCA